The sequence is a small RNA, 151 nucleotides long. It matches the Rfam family "STAXI RNA".
UGUUGUUUUUGAACAACUGUCAAUGUUCUUGCAGUUUGAGAGGAACGCUUUCGGGUGACUGCUCUUAAUGUCAGGGGGUCUGAGACUGACGCUUUCGAGUGACCUGUAAUGCCACUGUAGCCUGCAAAGUGGCGCCUUUGGGCGGUACACC